UAGUCUCAGCCCAGUGAUGAAAAAACGGACUUCAAGAGAUUCUUCCCCAGGUGUUUCAGCCUUGGAAUCAUUUUAAUUUCAUGUUGAUCUAAUUAGUAAUUCCAAUCACAGGGGAAAGGAGGAAAAAAAAUACCUUUCCUCAGUUCAUGGUCAAUAACUUUGUACCCAUGUGGGAAAAUGGGCUGUAUGGGUGAUAGAUAGGAGUGUAGGGGGAAGGGAUAGCAGGCGGAGCGGGGAAGGGAUGGCGCAGGUGGAGCACGGGCCCCUGCAGAACCAUGAGGCCACUAGGUUUCAGAGCCCUCAGGGUCCUACUGUCCCAGAAAGCCUGCGGGUCCAGCACCGGGCUUCUGUGUCUUAGGGCAGCUUUUGGAGGUGCUUCCUUUGUCUGCUAACUUACCUUUACCUUCCUACAUUUUGUUUGAAGUCAGAGAAAAUUGCCCAUUUGGGGGCAACAAUGAAGCAUUCAUCACUCUCCGGAGCUAAGCCAUCUCGAGUAGCCCUCAAUCAAACUCUGCUAUUUUUACCUCAGAGCACAGAGGCCACAGCGGAUAAAGGACCCUUAAGGUAGCUCAUCUAAUUUGUGAUGGGGCCCAGGGUUGUAAUACAUCGUCUUCACGGCCGUCUUCAGGGCCAUGAGCCCUGAGCAGGGCUGGUUUCCCAUGCGUGUCUGCUUGGGAUGGGGAGUUUCAUCAGGAAAACCAAGCACAUAUUAGAACAGGAACAGCAGCUUGGCAGUCAGGGCCCGGACCAAGAAUGCAAAGGGGCUGGAGGAUCCAGGCUCAAUAGUAGCUCAAAAAGGAAGAUACACACAAAGCUGACACACAGAGUGAGCCACCGCCGGCACUGAGGUCACGGUACACAGUGAGCCACGCCUGGCCAGGACACGGACACAUGGGACACUACCCUCCCUUCGCCCCGCAUGCACCACCUGGUCCCGUGCUUCCCCUGGAGCCGCCUCCUUUCCCAUCCUCUGCACUCCCUGGUCCACUC
This 990-nucleotide long non-coding RNA is filed under the name Homo sapiens (human). RNAcentral's name for it is "non-protein coding lnc-PITRM1-12:1". The record is from RNAcentral. Lineage: Eukaryota; Metazoa; Chordata; Mammalia; Primates; Hominidae.